Molecule: ribosomal RNA, 253 nt
Filed under: uncultured bacterium
Lineage: Bacteria
Description: partial 16S ribosomal RNA
Rfam family: Bacterial small subunit ribosomal RNA
Source: RNAcentral
UACGAAGGGGGCUAGCGUUGCUCGGAAUCACUGGGCGUAAAGCGCACGUGGGCGGAUCUUUAAGUCAGGGGUGAAAUCCCAAGGCUCAACCUUGGAACUGCCUUUGAUACUGGGGAUCUCGAGUCCGGAAGAGGUGAGUGGAACUGCGAGUGUAGAGGUGAAAUUCGUAGAGAUUGGGUGGAACACCAGUGGCGAAGGCGCCUAUCUGGCUGACAACUGACGCUGAGACUCGAAAGCAUGGGGAGCAAACAGG